Oreochromis aureus is the source of this 419-nucleotide long non-coding RNA. The record is from Ensembl. NCBI's taxonomy places the organism in Eukaryota, Metazoa, Chordata, Actinopteri, Cichliformes, Cichlidae.
CCUGGAUCUGCUGCUGAUGUAGAGGUCCGUCCCAGGAAGCUCACAGGUAGACGUUGUCGGCUGAGUGAAACCUCUCGCUGAACGAUCGGAUCGCACACCUGAAUCCGUCAGCCGAUCAGCUGACCGAGUCCGGCCCCGCAGCAUUCCUCACCCACAUUCCAAGGAUGUUAUGAGCAGGAUAAGCCGCUCCCGCCCUGCACACUCACCCAAACACGGCGAUGUGAAUCUCGUCAGCCUGUCGGGCUGCGGCACGAUAACGUCUUCCUGUUUAUUCCCGCUGACACGCUGGUCAUCAGGCUGAAGCUCGGGCUGAGAAGGUUCCAGAUGUUCCAGAUGUUUGCUGUCAGCCAGCUGCUGUGUGAACCUCCGCCGCACACCAACUCUGGAAUAAUAAACUGAAGUGAAAGCUUUGAGUGAGA